This 483-nucleotide ribosomal RNA is filed under the name uncultured bacterium. Its description in RNAcentral is "partial 16S ribosomal RNA". It matches the Rfam family "Bacterial small subunit ribosomal RNA", at positions 28 to 507 of the family's 1533-position model. The record is from RNAcentral.
GACGAACGCUGGCGGCGUGCUUAACACAUGCAAGUCGAACGCUGAAGCUCAGCUUUUGUUGGGUGGAUGAGUGGCGAACGGGUGAGUAACACGUGAGUAACCUGCCCCCUUCUUUGGGAUAACGCCCGGAAACGGGUGCUAAUACUGGAUAUUCACUGGUCUUCGCAUGGGGGUUGGUGGAAAGGGUUUUUCUGGUGGGGGAUGGGCUCGCGGCCUAUCAGCUUGUUGGUGGGGUGAUGGCCUACCAAGGCUUUGACGGGUAGCCGGCCUGAGAGGGUGACCGGUCACAGUGGGACUGAGAUAAGGCCCAGACUCCUACGGGAGGCAGCAGUGGGGAAUAUUGCACAAUGGGCGCAAGCCUGAUGCAGCGACGCCGCGUGAGGGAUGGAGGCCGUCGGGUUGUGAACCUCUUUCGCUCAUGGUCAAGCCGCACCAAUGGUUGUGGUGAGGGUAGUGGGUAAAGAAGCGCCGGCUAACUACGUG